This 2104-nucleotide long non-coding RNA is filed under the name Homo sapiens (human). Its description in RNAcentral is "HSALNT0191248". Lineage: Eukaryota; Metazoa; Chordata; Mammalia; Primates; Hominidae. The record is from RNAcentral.
CUGUUUGGAACCUGGGAUUCAAAUGGCCUGGCAGGAAGUGCUCUAGCAGAGGGACUCUGGCCUUGCAAGAGUCCCUAUUUCCCCCUUUUUUUUUGCUUUUCACACAGUAAAACCCUGCUUUACUUCCCUUUGAGUCGUCUGUGAGCCUAAAUUUUUGUGGCUGUGGGAAGGACAAGAACCCCAUCUUUAGCUGAAAUAAGGAAAAGUUCCGCAACAUUUUUGGCACACACCCUGGGGGCUCCGGAAGUGGAUUAUGUUGGCUCGGAGAAUGAUACCUCAAAGGCUGGUGCUGAGAGUUCUUAGAAGCUGCUUCAGAAUCAAGAAAUGCUUGCUGUUUGGAAACUUGUGAAGACCUGCAUCCCUUUGUAUCUCAAAUAAAGACAGAGGAACAAGGCCUUGAAACCGCCACUCCGUCAGGUCCUUGUCUUUCCAGUUUUCCUUCUUUGUGCCAUUGGGAUUAUAGAGAAUCAGCUCAUAAAAGUCAAAGUCCCCAGAGGCUGGACUCCAGUUGAACCAAAGGCUGUCUGUCGUGUUCCGAUUGGACCCCCUGAGAUGACUCACAGAGGCUGGGACUUAAACAGAAGAAAAAUUGUUACUGAGAACAAAACAGAAACACAGGCAUUUUGGCCCACAGAUCUCUAUUAAGAGAAAAAUACAAAGAAUAAAUGAGUAAGGCUCUUGAAACCAUUGAAUUGUACAAACUUUGGUGGUUUUAAAUCUGGAUUUGUGAAUAGCUGAGCCCGUUCACUGUCCCAUUUUGGAGAACCAUGAGGCAUUCUACAAUCUAGCCCUUCUCCAGGUGGAUGCUUACCUGUCCGCCCAACCACAUUUAUCUGAUUCUUCAGGGACCCGCUGACUGAGGCAAUCAUGAUCUGGUACUGCUCCCCGGCCUCCAGUCUGUGGAACGUGUGCUCAAAGACGUGCUUGGGAAUAGUCUGAGAGUCAACCUUUUGACUGUGCCUGAAUGCCGACACCGUGUAGGAAUCAACGUCUCCCCCACCAGGAGUCCAGUUCACCGUCAGGCUAUCUGUUGCUCCAUUGGGAGAAAUGUGAAUAUUUUUGACAGCACUAGGAACUAAAACAGAAAAUAAAUUUAAAAGUCAUCACUUAGAGAAUGAACUGUUGAAAUUUUCAAACAAAGUUUUGAAUGCUUCUGAUGUUUUGGCACCCACUGAGAGAACUCACAUGAAAAAGAAAGUAACAAUUUGCCACUUUUCUCUGAUUUUUCUGUGUGAACUAAAGUUGAUGGGGGAAAGCUUAGGGGGAAGUCAAAGCCGGUUGGACAACAUCAUUGUCACUAUCAACAUGACUUUGUCCCUUCUUGCUGUCUCCCUUUUAUCCCUCCAAAUGCUCAAUCGAAAUACCUGAACUACCCGAAAGUUAAAUGCACCACUGCAUCUAUUCAGGUUCAAGAACAGUAUUUCACAUUACCUGUGAAGCCCUCAAUGAAGGCUGACUGCUGUACAUCCCCGCUAAUCGUCAAGACAAGAAUUUUGUAUUGGCGGCCUGGUGUUAGGGAAGUAAAUCGAUACUCGGUUGCGGUAUUUACAAGGUGAAAAGGAGGAAAUACUUUCAUGUCAUUGAAGAGCAGCUGGAUCUCAUAUUGGUCGACAUCCCCAUUAGCUCCUGACCAAGUCACAUGCAAGUCCUCAGUGCUCCUGUUGCGCAAUGUUAGAUCCUUAACAGGCUCUGGAACUAGGGAGAAAAAUGAGAAGACAUUUCAGGAAAGGAACUGAUCAGAGUUUACCUACAUAAUAAUUUAUGAAUCACAUUCAAGGAACUGGCAACAUCUCCCUUCCCCAAAUAAACCACUAGCACUACUUCAUGCAUAAUUAAACAAGAAAAAUUGGAAGCAACUAUUAACAUUGUGGUUUUUUCCUGACAUAAAUGUUACAUGAUCAGCAUUGGUAGAACAUAAUUAUAAAAUGAGUUAUGAUCUCAAUCAUAAGAUAAAACAAGAAGUCUAGAAUCUAAAUGCCAUGAUGCAGGAAGAUAGGGAAGAAAAAUGGGACAUUUAGCCUUCUUGCUCCCUCACUAUGUUUGCUUUUAUCUACCAAUAAAUAUUCUGUAAUUAUAGGCCAUGGCUUGGCUGAAUGAUGUUAGC